Molecule: transfer RNA, 67 nt
Filed under: Marmota monax (woodchuck)
Lineage: Eukaryota; Metazoa; Chordata; Mammalia; Rodentia; Sciuridae
Description: tRNA.Ile
Source: RNAcentral
GGUUGUGGCUCAGUGGUAGAGCGCUAGCCUAAUGUGGGUGAGGCACUGGAUUCGAACCUCAGCACCA